CAAUAGCGUAUAUUAAAGUUGUUGCAGUUAAAAAGCUCGUAGUUGGAUUUCUGGUGGGAGCGAUCGGUCUGGCGCUUAGCGCGAGUACUUGCAUCGUCUCCGGCCAUCCUUGGGGAGAGUCUGUCUGGCAUUAGGUUGUCGGGCAGAGGAUCCUCAUCGUUCACUGUGAAAAAUUAGAGUGUUCAAAGCAGGCUUAUGCCGUUGAAUAUAUUAGCAUGGAAUAAUAAGAUAGGACUUUGGUACUAUUUUGUUGGUUUGCGCACCAAAGUAAUGAUUAAUAGGGACAGUUGGGGGUAUUCGUAUUCCGUUGUCAGAGGUGAAAUUCUUGGAUUUACGGAAGACGAACUACUGCGAAAGCAUUUACCAAGGAUGUUUUCAUUAA
This 382-nucleotide ribosomal RNA is filed under the name uncultured eukaryote. RNAcentral describes it as "partial 18S ribosomal RNA". It matches the Rfam family "Eukaryotic small subunit ribosomal RNA", at positions 592 to 976 of the family's 1831-position model. The record is from RNAcentral.